RNAcentral lists this unclassified non-coding RNA (233 nucleotides) under plant metagenome. RNAcentral describes it as "partial contains small subunit ribosomal RNA, internal transcribed spacer 1, and 5.8S ribosomal RNA". The stretch from base 1 to 54 matches the Rfam family "Eukaryotic small subunit ribosomal RNA", at positions 1778 to 1831 of the family's 1831-position model. The record is from RNAcentral.
GGAAGUAAAAGCCGUAACAAGGUUUCCGUAGGUGAACCUGCGGAAGGAUCAUUCAUAAUAAAGUGUUUUAUGGCACUUUUUAAAAAUCCAUAUCCACCUUGUGUGCAAUGUUAGAUCUCGUCAAUCUUGGCGAGAUUUUUAUACAUCAACUCAUUUUUUAACUAAUUUGUCUGAAAAAUAUUAUGAAUACUUAAUUCAAAAUACAACUUUCAACAACGGAUCUCUUGGCUCUC